GAGCACGUAGGUGGGUUUGUAAGUCAGACGUGAAAGCCUUCUGUUCAACGGAAGAAUUGCAUCUGAAACUACAAACCUUGAGUGUAGGAGGGGAGAAUGGAACUUCUGGUGGAGCGGUGAAAUGCGUAGAUAUCAGAAGGAACGCCGGCGGCGAAAGCGAUUCUCUGGCCUAUUACUGACACUCAGUGUGCGAAAGCUAGGGGAGCAAACGGGAUUAGAUACCCCGGUAGUCCUAGCCGUAAACGAUGGGCACUAAGUAGAGGGGUU
This 267-nucleotide ribosomal RNA is filed under the name uncultured Planctomycetota bacterium. Its description in RNAcentral is "uncultured planctomycete partial 16S ribosomal RNA". It matches the Rfam family "Bacterial small subunit ribosomal RNA", at positions 565 to 830 of the family's 1533-position model. Lineage: Bacteria; Pseudomonadati; Planctomycetota. The record is from RNAcentral.